RNAcentral lists this ribosomal RNA (253 nucleotides) under uncultured bacterium. RNAcentral describes it as "partial 16S ribosomal RNA". It matches the Rfam family "Bacterial small subunit ribosomal RNA", at positions 524 to 776 of the family's 1533-position model. The record is from RNAcentral.
UACGUAGGUGGCAAGCGUUGUCCAGAUUUACUGGGCGUAAAGAGCGCGCAGGCGGUCGUUCAAGUCGCGUGUGAAAGCCCCCGGCUCAACUGGGGAGGGUCACGCGAUACUGAUCGACUGGAAGGCAGGAGGGGGUAGUGGAAUUCCCGGUGUAGUGGUGAAAUGCGUAGAUAUCGGGAGGAACACCAGUGGCGAAGGCGACUACCUGGCCUGUUCUUGACGCUGAGGCGCGAAAGCUAGGGGAGCAAACGGG